UGGAGGAAACUCAAUGAAAUAGAUUCAGCCUUGAUUUUCUUCCAGCGAAGUUCAUAAUUUCAGGAAUCCAGAAACAAAGUGCGUGUGCUGGAAAACUGAAACGUUCUGAAGAAGGGAUUCUCCUGCAUCAGACAAAAGCAGAUAUGCCAAUCAUAUUUAGCUGACCUUUGACCUUUGCCAAACUGAAGACUCCUACCUCUGCGACAGUCAGUCAACCAUGGUUAAAAUAGCAAACAGCACCUAAAGACUAAGAGCACCAGCAGUAAUGAUUAUUUCCUAGUCAAUGUAACAUGAUGGCUGGCAUUGGGCGAGGAAUGAAGCAGCCUCUUGACUUCGACCAUUGCACACAAUAAGGAUUCGGUUCCAUUACCAAUUGUAUGAUCCCUGAAACAGUUACCGUAUAAGAGGACGGAUCUGUCCCGGGAGCAACGCGAAGCAAGAAGCUCCGAAAUGUUGUACUUGUUGGGUUUGACAUCCAAUAACUCUAGCUCUAACUCCAGUAGUGUCAAAUAUACUGCACAGGAAACUGUCCCUUGGACCUCCCAGGCACAGAGCACCUUUUAACUUAAAUGUUAAAUGCAAACGCCGGUCCCAGUAUUUUUAUGGUUUAACUGAUGGAAGAAGAGAUCAGCGCAUUGGAAUAGCAAUGCAGAAUGUGUGGAAUCUUAUUGACAAGAACGUUUGCUAUUGUGUGACUAUCUGAUUACAAUCCCACAGUAGCAAAUUCAUUUAUGUACCAUCAGAUUAGGAAUGUUACCUUCUCCAACACUUAAUUUGCCGUAUUGAUCGCAAAUAUGUAAACAUUGCUUAUUAACUUGUUCUAGCCCCGAGAUGUAAACAUAGAAUAGUGAUGGUUAUUUUCUGACAAAGCUAGCGGACUGGCGGGAUUGUCAAAAGUAGUGAAUGAAGCCGGCGACUUUCCAUUUCAGUCGGAUAGCAAUCUUCGCUUCCUUUACAUAGAUUAGUGAUGAUAAAUAUGGAGAACCAAUGGAUCAAGGUUUUGAAAAACGAGAUAUUCCAACACUAUUAUUCUCAGCAGCCGUCAACUUCAAUUACUCGAGGGAUUAUAAAUAAAAUUGUCCGUGGUGGAAUUCAUGGGGAAGUGUAUUCCAAUUGGCCACAUCUUUUAAAAUAAAUUCCCUAUUUUGACAACAUUUUCAAUGAUAAAAGCUACGAAGUAAUAAAUCGAGAUGCUCCAGUUUUGUGAAGGAGGGUGUGUUUAUUCGGCAAUAGUUUGACUGGCCAAAAUUACUGUUUUACAGAAUAUUAAAAGAUACGAUGACAGUGUGUCUUUUGCAC
This is a long non-coding RNA of Rhincodon typus (whale shark), 1299 nucleotides long. RefSeq lists it as uncharacterized. The transcript has 3 exons. The record is from RefSeq and is a predicted model, not a curated record. NCBI's taxonomy places the organism in Eukaryota, Metazoa, Chordata, Chondrichthyes, Orectolobiformes, Rhincodontidae.